This is a long non-coding RNA of Salvia splendens (bonfire salvia), 456 nucleotides long. RefSeq lists it as uncharacterized. The transcript has 2 exons. Lineage: Eukaryota; Viridiplantae; Streptophyta; Magnoliopsida; Lamiales; Lamiaceae. The record is from RefSeq and is a predicted model, not a curated record.
CUCGGUGCCGAACUGCCGUGCUUGGUGGCGAACUGCCGAGCUCGGUGCCGAACUGCCGUGCUUGGUGGCGAACUGCCGAACUCGGUGCCGAACUGCCGUGCUUGGUGGCUGCUCGUUUGGCUGGUGUGAGCCGUGGAGUGCAGGGAUAAAGCAACCUCUUACCUUUCUUUUUUUUUUCGGGACAAGAGGCUGACUCUUCUCGGUUGCUGUCUCGUCUGUUCAGCCCAACGGGCCAUCGGAAACUGGGCCGAAACCAUGCUAGAAGAAGGGCCCGAAGCUAGUAGUUUCAUUUGUAAAGAGAUAGGGUUUCUAUUUGAAAUUCUCUCUUUUUCUUAACAUGUAAAAGUUUAUUGGUGUGUAUUUAAUUCCAAACACUUGAAAUUUGGUGGCUUUGAAAUUUCUGAAGUUGUACUUGUACCCUUAUUCAAGAAAUAAAAAUACUCUUUCAUUCGUCAA